CCUACGGGUGGCUGCAGUGAGGAAUAUUGGUCAAUGGGCGGGAGCCUGAACCAGCCAAGCCGCGUGAAGGAAGAAGGCGCUAGGCGUCGUAAACUUCUUUUGUCGGGGAACAAAGGGCGCCACGCGUGGCGUUGUGAGCGUCCCCGAAGAAAAAGCAUCGGCUAACUCCGUGCCAGCAGCCGCGGUAAUACGGAGGAUGCGAGCGUUAUCCGGAUUUAUUGGGUUAAAAGGGUCCGUAGUCGGUGCGGAAAGUUAGCGGUAAAAGCCCGGGGCUCAACCCCGGCGAGCCGUUGAAGCUGUCGAGCUAGAGACGGCGAGAGGUACGCGGAAUGCGCGGUGUAGCGGUGAAAUGCAUAGAUA
RNAcentral lists this ribosomal RNA (360 nucleotides) under uncultured bacterium. RNAcentral describes it as "partial 16S ribosomal RNA". It matches the Rfam family "Bacterial small subunit ribosomal RNA", at positions 338 to 696 of the family's 1533-position model. The record is from RNAcentral.